Molecule: ribosomal RNA, 427 nt
Filed under: uncultured bacterium
Lineage: Bacteria
Description: partial 16S ribosomal RNA
Rfam family: Bacterial small subunit ribosomal RNA
Source: RNAcentral
UGGGGAAUAUUGGACAAUGGGCGAAAGCCUGAUCCAGCCAUGCCGCGUGUGUGAAGAAGGUCUUCGGAUUGUAAAGCACUUUAAGUUGGGAGGAAGGGUUGUAGAUUAAUACUCUGCAAUUUUGACGUUACCGACAGAAUAAGCACCGGCUAACUCUGUGCCAGCAGCCGCGGUAAUACAGAGGGUGCAAGCGUUAAUCGGAAUUACUGGGCGUAAAGCGCGCGUAGGUGGUUUGUUAAGUUGGAUGUGAAAGCCCCGGGCUCAACCUGGGAACUGCAUCCAAAACUGGCAAGCUAGAGUACGGUAGAGGGUGGUGGAAUUUCCUGUGUAGCGGUGAAAUGCGUAGAUAUAGGGAGGAACACCAGUGGCGAAGGCGACCACCUGGACUGAUACUGACACUGAGGUGCGAAAGCGUGGGGAGCAAACA